UUCCAUUAUGGGUGGAAGGCUGGUUAAACCGUUUGGUUUUCGACCACUAGGACCCGGGUUCGAUUCCCGCAUUGGACA
Non-coding RNA from Cordylochernes scorpioides, 78 nucleotides. Lineage: Eukaryota; Metazoa; Arthropoda; Arachnida; Pseudoscorpiones; Chernetidae. The record is from the annotation of a GenBank genome assembly.